ACAAGGGUAUGUGUAUACUAAAAUUAGAACAGUGCAGAUAUUAAUAUGGUCUCUGUACAAGAAUGACAUGCAAAUUCAUGAAACAUUCCAUAUUUUU
This 97-nucleotide small nuclear RNA is filed under the name Notamacropus eugenii (tammar wallaby). Lineage: Eukaryota; Metazoa; Chordata; Mammalia; Diprotodontia; Macropodidae. The record is from RNAcentral.